GUGGGAUCUCACAGUCCCAGUUGAGCCACCUCAGCCAAAACAUCACAUAAGAACACAGAUGAGCCGUCCCAACUGAGCCCUGCCAAACUACAGAAUUACAGCGCUGGGGAGAAUGAACGCCUGAGUACUCAUGUCUUUAUGCACUGUAGUAUUAUUUCCUUACAACAGACUCCUGAACCUGGAACGGCAGUGUCAAAGGGUUCACAAAAUGUUAGACUUCUGAAGCAAAUCAGAUGGCACCUUUUUUGAAUAAUGAAGAAUCUUUACCCCUGGCAUGAGGAGCUGAGGACAACUCCCACUCCACGAUGUGAAGCCACAGAGUUUCGAGGCCCCAGGACCUCCAGCGUCAAUGUUGUGGGAUGAUGGGUGACAGAGCCAAAGCAUCGCCAUCUUGGACAAGCACGGUCAUUCUGAAGUUCCCCUUGAUCAAAAACUGCCUAAACCCAAAGGAUAUCAGCCUGAUGGCUAAGGUCAGCAUGACCAUAAACCAUAAAUAACAUCUCUGACCAGGAACAUUCCAAACCCCUCCAUGAGACAUGCCAGCCCUGAGAUAACCUCCCCUCCGGCCAGAAAGAUGUCAGACCCAAGAUAACCUCCCCUCCGACCAGAGACAUCCCAACCCUGCCAUAAACUUCUCCCCCACACAGAAACAUUCUGAGCUUGUAAUAAGCCCCCUCAUCCUAAAACCAAUAUAUACUCUUAGUCCGUAAGAGAAAGUGCUCCUGAACAAAAUUGGCCAGAAGCCCCUCUCCGGCUUAUUUUCUCUAAAAUACAUCUGUCGUUAAAUUGAGCCACA
Molecule: long non-coding RNA, 796 nt
Filed under: Homo sapiens (human)
Lineage: Eukaryota; Metazoa; Chordata; Mammalia; Primates; Hominidae
Description: HSALNT0365137
Source: RNAcentral